Molecule: ribosomal RNA, 492 nt
Filed under: uncultured bacterium
Lineage: Bacteria
Description: partial 16S ribosomal RNA
Rfam family: Bacterial small subunit ribosomal RNA
Source: RNAcentral
AGUGAACGCUGGCGGUAGGCCUAACACAUGCAAGUCGAACGGUAGCACAGUAAGAGCUUGCUCUUACGGGUGGCGAGUGGCGGACGGGUGAGGAAUACAUCGGAAUCUACUUUUUCGUGGGGGAUAACGUAGGGAAACUUACGCUAAUACCGCAUACGACCUACGGGUGAAAGCAGGGGAUCUUCGGACCUUGCGCGAUUGAAUGAGCCGAUGUCGGAUUAGCUAGAUGGCGGGGUAAAGGCCCACCAAGGCGACGAUCCGUAGCUGGUCUGAGAGGAUGAUCAGCCACACUGGAACUGAGACACGGUCCAGACUCCUACGGGAGGCAGCAGUGGGGAAUAUUGGACAAAGGGCGCAAGCCUGAUCCAGCCAUACCGCGUGGGUGAAGAAGGCCUUCGGGUUGUAAAGCCCUUUUGUUGGGAAAGAAAAGCAGCAGGUUAAUACCCCGCUGUUCUGACGGUACCCAAAGAAUAAGCACCGGCUAACUUCGUG